CACGUAGGGGACGAGCGUUGUCCGGAUUCAUUGGGCGUAAAGCGCGCGUAGGCGGCUCGGAAAGUCGGUCGUGAAAUGCCGGGGCUCAACCCCGGGACUGCGUCCGAUACUUCCGGGCUGGAGGUAGGUAGGGGAGAUCGGAAUUCCUGGUGUAGCGGUGAAAUGCGCAGAUAUCGAGAGGAACACCAGUGGCGAAGGCGAGUCCCUGGACAGGUCCUGACGCUGAGGCACGAAAGCUAGGGGAGCAAACAGG
Molecule: ribosomal RNA, 253 nt
Filed under: uncultured bacterium
Lineage: Bacteria
Description: partial 16S ribosomal RNA
Rfam family: Bacterial small subunit ribosomal RNA
Source: RNAcentral